GCGAAGUAUUUAAUUUAUUUGUCUCUCUUCUAGGAGCUGUAGAAACAACAGGGUGCCUGCUGCAGUAUGACGAGGACGCCCUGAUCAUAGAAGGUCCAGUGUCUUGGCAGGGUGAAAUGGCACUGAUAUCGUGUCCUGCAGGAUGCUGUGUCCUGCAAUCCUGUGUGCUGUGCUACAGACGCGUGUGGAGGUCAACCCGAAAUGGGCACAGUAGAGUGAAAGAGGGUAAGCUUAACCUAUAGCCUACGUCAGGGUUGGGGAACCUUUCUCAUUCGAAAGGCCACUUCAAAUUCAUCCGAGGGGCCAUAAAAGUCCUCCAAGGGCCGUACUAUGAACACAAACCAGGAUUUUCCCUUUCACUUUAGGCCUAUAUUGAAGGCAGCCACAUUUAAACAAACACCACCUUCUUCAGGUUCCCUGAAUAUAACUUAAUUGUAUUGCUAAUGUAUUUUCUAAGAUUCCUUUACAAAAUAUGUCAUAUUUCAUGUGAAGAUGGAAUUGCAUUAAAAUUAUAUCGGGGGCCGGAUAAAACUGCCUCAAGGGUCGCAAACGGCCCUAGAGACAUAGGUUCCCCACCCCUGGCCUACAUUGUCAAUAUGACUUGUGCUACUUUAUAGAUAAGUUGUCAAUGCUGUGCAUUGCUAUGUUUUGAUUUAUUUUCUUACAUCCUACAGAUCCUGGCAGGGAGACGGUAGUGUCCUGCAGGAUGGUGAUGGGCAAUCUUACAAGAGACCACAGAAAACUGAUAUAGUCUCCCAGAAGUGAGACUGAGUGCCUGUUGCAGUAUGACGAGGAAGCAGUGACCAGAGACCUUCAGUAGACCCUGCUGGCAUGAUUGUCGGCUGAAGAACAUGAAAUCAACAGCAAUGUUUAUAAUAUUGUACAUACCUGUAUAGUCUGCACUAAAAUGCUGUACCUGUACUAUUUUUCCUCUUACUUUCAUAUUUACCACGUAUUUACUAUGAAUUGACAACUUUUACUCAAAUCCAUUUUUGUAUGUGCCCUGACUAAAACUAUCCUUAAACCUAACCUGUCAGAGGUGUAAUAACAACCUGCUCUUAGCAAUGUGGCAGCAGUCUACUUGGAUGCAGCGGGGAACAUAGAACCCUUUUUUUUUAAAAAAAGCAUUGUAUGUUUCUGAGUUUUAUGAAUU
Molecule: long non-coding RNA, 1153 nt
Organism: Engraulis encrasicolus (European anchovy)
Lineage: Eukaryota; Metazoa; Chordata; Actinopteri; Clupeiformes; Engraulidae
Exons: 3
Source: RefSeq, a predicted model, not a curated record